GAUGAACGCUAGCUACAGGCUUAACACAUGCAAGUCGAGGGGUAACGAGAGGAAAGCUUGCUUUCCUUGUCGACGACCGGCGCACGGGUGAGUAACGCGUAUCCAACCUGCCCCCAACUAGGGAAUAACCUUGCGAAAGUAAGACUAAUACCCUAUAAUUUCCUCAGAUGUCAUCUGACGAGGAAUAAAGAUUUAUCGGUUGUGGAUGGGGAUGCGUCUGAUUAGCUUGUUGGCGGGGUAACGGCCCACCAAGGCAACGAUCAGUAGGGGUUCUGAGAGGAAGGUCCCCCACAUUGGAACUGAGACGCGGACCAAACGCCUACGGGAGGCAGCAAUGAGGAAUAUUGGUCAAUGGGCGGAAAGCUGAACCAGCCAAGUAGCUUGCAGGAUGACGGCCCUAUGGGUUGUAAACUGCUUUUAUACAGGAAUAAAGUUAGCCACGUGUGGUUAUUUGUAGGUACUGUAUGAAUAAGGACCGGCUAAUUCCGUGCCAGCCGCCGCCGUAA
This 506-nucleotide ribosomal RNA is filed under the name uncultured bacterium. RNAcentral's name for it is "partial 16S ribosomal RNA". It matches the Rfam family "Bacterial small subunit ribosomal RNA", at positions 28 to 523 of the family's 1533-position model. The record is from RNAcentral.